AUGACAGCAGAAUACAUUUUGAUUCAUUGUUCACAAAUGCAUCACAACUUUACAUUUCUAUGCUUGUACACGAUGUAGCUUUGCACCAUAUGUGCAGUCAUACAUGUACCUAGGGUAAUGAUGUCCAUCUCAUUCCACCCUCUUUCCUACCCCCAUGCCCCCACCCCACCCAAUCCCUACCUCCCCUUUGCCCCAUCAAAGUUUCUCAAUUUUUUCCAUGUUUCCCCCAUUAUAGAUCAGCAUCCACUUAUCAGAGAGAACAUUCAGCCUUUGGGUUUUGGGGAUUGGUUUACUUCACUUAGCAUGAUAUUCUCCAACUCCAUCCAUUUACCUGCAAAUACCAUGAUUUUUUGGGAAAGACAGGGAUAAUCCACUCAGACCAUAACCUUAAGACCCCCCUCCCCAUCCUGCAAUCCUACUCUGGAAUCGGCCAAGUCUUGUAUGUUGCAACCUGUUCCAGUGGUCUGCUUCCUGCCCUCAACUACACAGGCACCAACUGUCUAAUUAGGGUUCUUUUGCAGUUAGUCUUUAGACCACAUGAUGGCGCUGUUGAAGCUUUGGUCUGUAUAGCCUCGUGGUCAUUGCCAUUCCUUUUCCUAUGAGACAUUUUUGCUAACCCAGACUCUUUUAUUCAAAUACAAAAUGCUUCACGAAUUUGCAUGUCAUCCUCGAACAGGGGCCAUGCUAAUCUUCCUUGUAUAGUUG
This 705-nucleotide long non-coding RNA is filed under the name Marmota monax (woodchuck). The record is from RNAcentral. Lineage: Eukaryota; Metazoa; Chordata; Mammalia; Rodentia; Sciuridae.